RNAcentral lists this ribosomal RNA (253 nucleotides) under uncultured bacterium. RNAcentral's name for it is "partial 16S ribosomal RNA". It matches the Rfam family "Bacterial small subunit ribosomal RNA", at positions 524 to 776 of the family's 1533-position model. The record is from RNAcentral.
UACGGAGGGUGCGAGCGUUAAUCGGAAUUACUGGGCGUAAAGCGCGCGUAGGCGGUUUGUUAAGUCAGCUGUGAAAGCCCCGGGCUCAACCUGGGGGCUGCGCUUGAUACUGAUGAGCUUGAAUGCGGGAGAGGAUAGUGGAAUUCCCAGUGUAGAGGUGAAAUUCGUAGAUAUUGGGAAGAACACCGGUGGCGAAGGCGGCUAUCUGGCCCGUAAUUGACGCUGAGGCGCGAAAGCGUGGGGAGCAAACAGG